Molecule: RNA transcript, 2484 nt
Organism: Meriones unguiculatus (Mongolian gerbil)
Lineage: Eukaryota; Metazoa; Chordata; Mammalia; Rodentia; Muridae
Gene: Arhgap8
Gene name: Rho GTPase activating protein 8
Exons: 12
Source: RefSeq, a predicted model, not a curated record
GCGUUGGGCGGGGCCAGGCGGGGUGGGGCCUGCCCGUAGGCGGGCCAGGUGAGCGGCUGGAGUUGCAGAGGGCCAGGUGUGGUGCUCGGUGGUCCGCAGAGCUACAGAGACAAGGAAGCAACAGCCACACUGGGGGCCACAGGAGGGCCCUCAGUGGUGUCCAUGGCUGCCCUGGACCCCAUGCUGAACACAAGCCACCCAUUCUAUGAUGUGGCCAGACACGGCAUCCUGCAGGUGGCAGGGGAUGACCGCCAGGGGAGACGCAUCUUCACCUUCAGCUGCUGCCGACUGCCGCCCCUGCACCAGCUCAACCACCAGCGUCUGCUGGAGUAUCUGAAGUACACACUGGACCAGCAUGUGGAGAAUGACUAUACCAUCGUCUACUUUCACUACGGCCUCAGCAGCCAGAACAAACCAUCCCUCGGCUGGCUCCAGAAUGCCUACAAGGAGUUUGACCGGAAGUACAAGAAGAACCUGAAGGCCCUGUAUGUUGUGCACCCCACCAGCCUCAUCAAAGUUGUGUGGAACAUCUUCAAGCCCCUCAUCAGUCACAAGUUUGGGAAAAAAGUCACCUACUGCAGCACCCUGCGUGAGCUCCGGGAACACCUUCAGUGCGACCAGCUGCUGGUACCCCCGGAAGUCGUGCAGUAUGAUGAGAAGCUGCAAAACCUGCAGAAAGGCCAGCUGCCCCCUCCCACCAAGACUCCACCACCUCGGCCGCCUCUGCCCACCCAGCAGUUUGGCGUCAGCCUGCAAUACCUCAAAGACAAGAAUCAAGGGGAACUCAUCCCCCCCGUGCUGCGGUGGACGGUGACGUACCUGAGAGAGAAAGGGCUUCGCACUGAGGGCCUGUUCCGGAGAUCAGCAAGUGCCCAGACUGUCCGCCAGAUACAACGGCUGUAUGAUCAAGGGAAGCCGGUAAACUUUGAUGACUAUGGGGACAUGCAUGUCCCAGCCGUGAUCCUGAAGACAUUUCUGCGAGAGCUGCCCCAGCCGCUGCUGACCUUCCAAGCCUACGAGCAGAUUCUGGGGAUCACCACCUCAGAAGAGGGGCCUGACACUGUGUCAUCACAGCCCGGAUGUGUCCCUGGAAAUGUCGACUUCAAGGCAACUCCUUGUCCAUUGAGGUUACGAAGCAGCCACAGCUCGGUUCUCUAAGACGGUGAUUUGUAUGAGCAAGCCUUCAAGCUGUUUAUAGACCAGAAUCCUGUGUCACAGUUACACACCUGUACAAUUCCAGGGUCUCCCGGUCAGUACACAGGUGUAGUGGGAGGACAGUAGUGUGUCAGAGGCUGGGGGGUUCAGGGACAGGUUUGAGUGUAUGCCUAUGGGUGCACCUGCAUUCAGGGAGCCGUGUGAGUACUUUCUCAUGGUGAUUUUUUUAAGGUGUUUCUGCUGGAACCACUGAGCCACCUACUGUCUCUUUUACAAAUUUUCUUUCAGAAAUGGUCUCACCAUGUAGCCCAGGCUGACCCUGAACUUGCAAUCCUCCUGUCUCAGCCUCCAAAUGCUGGGAUUGCAGGCCUCUGCAGCCACAUUCAACUUAGUUUUUAACUCCAAGGCUAUCAUGAGGGUCUGAGGGCAUGGACUGGUUGGUAGAGUGGUUGCCUAGCAACCAUGGGCUCUGUGCCCCAGUAUAAACCAGGUAUAGAGGCAUUCACUUGUAAUUCCAGCAGUUGGGAAGUGGAGGCAGGAGGCUUAGGAGUUCAAGGGUAUAUCCUCAGCUACAUAGCAGGUUUGAGGCCAGCCUGGAGCAUAAGUGAUCCUUUCUCAAAACUAAACAAAGCUCAAAUGGAGUGGGGCUAAAGGAACCGAGGGUCUAUGUGUGAAAGAGUUACACCGUCCCUACCCCCUCCCCUGGCCAUGGGGCUUUUCCCAAGAACGACACAGUGCGGUGGUCCAUGUACCGAGAAUCGUAGGCAGAUGCGUUUAUCUUAAAGACGGGGAGUAAAGCACUAGCCUUCCCCAGCAGAACAGUCUCCGAAGCAGCUACUGGCUCCAUCCCUAUAAGCCCCAGAAAGCCCUCGGCCAAUGUGUCAACACACAGCCAUAGUUGUAAAGUAUUGCUGAGCUCUGGCAUGGUGGCGGAUGCUUCUGAUGCCAGCAUUUGGGCGGUAGAGGGAAGAAACAAAAGAAACGCGCUGGGCCAGAUGUGGACUGCCACCUGUGUACAGCUUACCCGGCCCUGGUCUAGCCUUUUCCUGUCUGCAGAGUGAUUCCCUGCCCUGUUCCCGGCAGGUGAGCAGUUUCUGUAACCAUCACCCAGAGGAGGGAGGAGCUUGGCAAAAGUAGUGGGGGACUGUGUUCCCCCGGGCCAGCAGCCUCAUGCUAUUACAGGUGUGGAGAGCAGCCUGCGCGUGACCCAUUGUCGCCUGAUCCUGCAGGGCCUCCCAGAACACAACUAUGCUGUCCUCCGCUAUCUCAUGGGCUUCUUGCAUGAGGUGUCCCGGGAGAGCAUCGCGAACAAGAUGAACAGCUACAACC